UACGAAGGGGGCUAGCGUUGCUCGGAAUCACUGGGCGUAAAGCGCACGUAGGCGGAUUGUUAAGUCAGGGGUGAAAUCCCGGAGCUCAACUUCGGACCUGCCUUUGAUACAGCACGUCUUGAGUCCGGAAGAGGUGGGUGGAAUUCCUAGUGUAGAGGUGAAAUUCGUAGAUAUUAGGAAGAACACCGGUGGCGAAGGCGGCCCACUGGUCCGGUACUGACGCUGAGGUGCGAAAGCGUGGGGAGCAAACAGG
RNAcentral lists this ribosomal RNA (253 nucleotides) under uncultured bacterium. Its description in RNAcentral is "partial 16S ribosomal RNA". It matches the Rfam family "Bacterial small subunit ribosomal RNA", at positions 524 to 776 of the family's 1533-position model. The record is from RNAcentral.